RNAcentral lists this ribosomal RNA (253 nucleotides) under uncultured bacterium. RNAcentral describes it as "partial 16S ribosomal RNA". It matches the Rfam family "Bacterial small subunit ribosomal RNA", at positions 524 to 776 of the family's 1533-position model. RNAcentral also lists the same sequence under 1 other name. The record is from RNAcentral.
UACAGAGGGUGCAAGCGUUAAUCGGAAUUACUGGGCGUAAAGCGCGCGUAGGUGGUUUGUUAAGUUGGAUGUGAAAUCCCCGGGCUCAACCUGGGAACUGCAUCCAAAACUGGCAAGCUAGAGUAUGGUAGAGGGUGGUGGAAUUUCCUGUGUAGCGGUGAAAUGCGUAGAUAUAGGAAGGAACACCAGUGGCGAAGGCGACCACCUGGACUGAUACUGACACUGAGGUGCGAAAGCGUGGGGAGCAAACAGG